Molecule: long non-coding RNA, 260 nt
Filed under: Mytilus galloprovincialis (Mediterranean mussel)
Lineage: Eukaryota; Metazoa; Mollusca; Bivalvia; Mytilida; Mytilidae
Source: RNAcentral
AAAUGAUUAAUGGUGUUGCUAUAAAACGUAUUUAUAUGAGAGUAUUAUCCUAUAGGUAGGAGAAAAUAAGACGUGCUUUAAAUACAAAGUUCACCAUAUAUAUCUUUUUUUACGGUAGAGGGUAUAAUUUUUAAAAUGAACAUACAACAAGACAUGCACAUGAAAAAGUGGGGAAAACAUGCAACAAAAGCGCGAUUAAAUGACACCUUACAAGUAUUAUAAAACAAAAAAGUGUGCUGCACAGCCUCCAACUAAAAGCC